GAAGGACUAUUUGAGAGAGCACUGGUGCAGUGGGAAUAGCACUACAUUUAAUGUAAUUUAAUGGCAAUAACAAUAAUAAUAGCCAACAUUUGCAUAGCACUUACUAUGCACUGGUUACAAUUGUUGUCUCCUUUGAUCCUCCCAACAAUACUGAGAGGUAGGUGCUACUAUUAUCCUCAUUUUAUAGAUGAGAAAACUAAGGAGGGCAGCAGCAGUUAAGAGACUUGCCCAGAUAGUGUCUGAUUUUAUAUUUGAACCCAGGUCUUCCUGAGUCCAGGACUAGCUCUCCAUUCACUGCCCUACCUAAUUACCCAUGACUACGUGUCCAUUCUCUCAAUUUUUCAUCUCUGAAAUGGGGAGAAUAGAACCUAUCAAACUUAUCCCCAUAGGGCUAUUAUGAAGAAAAAAAUGGGAAAACAGAUGUAGAGUCCUUUACAAAUUUUAAAGCAUUCCAUUAAUGUCACUUUUUAUCAUAAACACCACAUGGAAAAGAGAGAAGCCUUGUUUUGCUUGACCCUGUGAAGAUGGGAUUGACUCUCCCCUUGCCUACUUUUAAAUUUAAUCAACUAAAAGUGAAGACACCCCUACUUAACAUUAACUAGAGAAGGUUCAAAAACCACUUACUAAAGUGAGUAACACCUCCAGAAACAACUGGCUGCCCCCUAGGCAAUGCUAAGCAAAUUUAAAGACUGCAUUUGGUCCCAGUCAAGUGGAAGGACAGGAAGUGAUGUUAAAAAAGGGCUACAAAAUAUGAUGAACUUCCUGUCCAAGAAAGGGUCUUUGGUCUUUGGUCUGAAUCUUUAGUGUGAAGGACCAGGGGCUGGUGACUUGAACUGCUUCUAGUAAGACUGUUCUUGGAUCUUCCCCUUUGGACUUGGACUGCAGCUUUGAGCUACAGAUUGGAAAACGGAAACAAAGCCCUUGCAACGCGGACGUCUAGUCAAACAAAACAAAAGAAAAGGUCCCACAUUGGCUACAUCCAAAAAUCAACAGCUGUUUUUCCAUACAGAUUUUACCUGUUCUUGAAAAGCAAUAGAUUGUUCUGCGAAUCCCACUGCACGGAAAUAAUUGACGACAUCUAUGACCUCCCAGUCUACGGGGUCAGGCGGGCUCCCAUUCUCUAUGGCACUGCAAAAUGCAAAUUCAGAAAGACAGACAAGUCACCACAGCUGUCCACUGGACAUGCCCAAAGCACCAAUAACAGCACUCAUUGCUUGGGGCCCAGAGUCAUGGACAACUG
RNAcentral lists this long non-coding RNA (1240 nucleotides) under Monodelphis domestica (gray short-tailed opossum). RNAcentral describes it as "lncRNA (ENSMODG00000040365.1)". Lineage: Eukaryota; Metazoa; Chordata; Mammalia; Didelphimorphia; Didelphidae. The record is from RNAcentral.